RNAcentral lists this ribosomal RNA (394 nucleotides) under uncultured bacterium. RNAcentral describes it as "bacterial SSU rRNA". It matches the Rfam family "Bacterial small subunit ribosomal RNA", at positions 28 to 423 of the family's 1533-position model. The record is from RNAcentral.
GACGAACGCUGGCGGCGUGCUUAACACAUGCAAGUCGAACGGUGAACCAGAGCUUGCUCUGGGGAUCAGUGGCGAACGGGUGAGUAGCACGUGGGCAACCUGCCCAGACUCUGGGAUAACCUCGGGAAACCGAUGCUAAUACCGGAUACGACCACUUCGGACAUCCGACGGUGGUGGAAAGUUUUUCGGUCUGGGAUGGGCCCGCGGCCUAUCAGCUAGUUGGUGGGGUAAUGGCCUACCAAGGCGACGACGGGUAGCCGGCCUGAGAGGGCGACUGGCCACACUGGAACUGAGACACGGUCCAGACUCCUACGGGAGGCAGCAGUGGGGAAUAUUGCACAAUGGGCGAAAGCCUGAUGCAGCGACGCCGCGUGAGGGACGACGGCCUUCGGUU